UGUUUUCACUCUUGCAGAACGUUCUCGUGUGCCCAGGGACACUCCUGUCCUGUGCGGCUUCCAGGAGGAGCCGAGUUUCCAGCUCUGCCCUCUAGAGCAGCACACUUGUCUGCUGCAGUCCUGGGGUUGGAUACAGACCCUCCCUCUGAGGGACAGCUCCUCCUCCCUCAGGCUUGAGGCAGAGUGACGGCGGCCCAGCUGCGCCCGAUGAGGAUGUCUGAGCAGGCUCCCAGGCGGGUCCUCCCAGAGUGAGGAGCUGUCCUGACCCAGUGGAGACCCCCGCGGAGGACGAGGAUCCAAACGAAAUAAAGCCGUGUGAACAUCAGACACGAGACGUCACUACUGGAACGGAGAGCGGAGAGGAGCAGCGACCCCUUGGAGCUGGCAGCACCCUGUUUACCUCGAGGAAGCUGCGGCGCAGGAACGGGGCGCCGGGCAGUGAGCGAGCAGCGCCCGGGCUGGAGGCUAGUCUUCUAAAUGCCAGGCCCCGCCGGGCUCGGGCCGUCCCGUCCACAGGUGCCCUGGGCGUCCCUGCCGCCUCCCACCUCUCGUGA
Molecule: long non-coding RNA, 554 nt
Filed under: Bos indicus x Bos taurus (hybrid cattle)
Lineage: Eukaryota; Metazoa; Chordata; Mammalia; Artiodactyla; Bovidae
Description: lncRNA (ENSBIXG00000001107.1)
Source: RNAcentral